Molecule: ribosomal RNA, 468 nt
Filed under: uncultured bacterium
Lineage: Bacteria
Description: partial 16S ribosomal RNA
Rfam family: Bacterial small subunit ribosomal RNA
Source: RNAcentral
GACGAACGCCGGCGGCGUGCUUAACACAUGCAAGUCGAACGGAAAGGCCCUGCUUUUGUGGGGUGCUCGAGUGGCGAACGGGUGAGUAACACGUGAGUAACCUGCCCUUGACUUUGGGAUAACUUCAGGAAACUGGGGCUAAUACCGGAUAGGAGCUCCUGCUGCAUGGUGGGGGUUGGAAAGUUUCGGCGGUUGGGGAUGGACUCGCGGCUUAUCAGCUUGUUGGUGGGGUAGUGGCUUACCAAGGCUUUGACGGGUAGCCGGCCUGAGAGGGUGACCGGCCACAUUGGGACUGAGAUACGGCCCAGACUCCUACGGGAGGCAGCAGUGGGGAAUAUUGCACAAUGGGCGGAAGCCUGAUGCAGCAACGCCGCGUGCGGGAUGACGGCCUUCGUGUUGUAAACCGCUUUCGCCUGUGACGAAGCGUGAGUGACGGUAAUGGGUAAAGAAGCACCGGCUAGCUACGUG